Molecule: ribosomal RNA, 423 nt
Filed under: uncultured Fusobacterium sp.
Lineage: Bacteria; Fusobacteriati; Fusobacteriota; Fusobacteriia; Fusobacteriales; Fusobacteriaceae
Description: bacterial SSU rRNA
Rfam family: Bacterial small subunit ribosomal RNA
Source: RNAcentral
GAUGAACGCUGACAGAAUGCUUAACACAUGCAAGUCAACUUGAACUUCGGUUUGGGUGGCGGACGGGUGAGUAACGCGUAAAGAACUUGCCUCACAGAUAGGGACAACAUUUGGAAACGAAUGCUAAUACCUGAUAUUAUGAUUUUAGGGCAUCCUAGAAUUAUGAAAGCUAUAUGCACUGUGAGAGAGCUUUGCGUCCCAUUAGCUAGUUGGAGAGGUAACGGCUCACCAAGGCGAUGAUGGGUAGCCGGCCUGAGAGGGUGAUCGGCCACAAGGGGACUGAGACNCGGCCCUUACUCCUACGGGAGGCAGUANUGGGGAAUAUUGGACAAUGGACCAAAAGUCUGAUCCCNCAAUUCUGUGUGCCCUAUGAAGUUUUUCGGAAUGUAAACUGNUUNNUNUUGGGAAGAAAAAAAUGACCGU